Molecule: ribosomal RNA, 407 nt
Filed under: uncultured bacterium
Lineage: Bacteria
Description: partial 16S ribosomal RNA
Rfam family: Bacterial small subunit ribosomal RNA
Source: RNAcentral
AUUGAACGCUGGCGGCAGGCCUAACACAUGCAAGUCGAGCGGAGCGACGGACGGGCGGGUAAUUCCUGGGAGUCGGUCUGCUAGUGGGGGGUAACUUUCGGAUACGGACGGUAAUUCCUAAUGCUCGCUGACGAGUCUAGGUAGGAUUGGUUAGUUGGUGGGGUAAUGGCUCACCAAGGCUACGAUCGGUAACUGGUCUGAGAGGAUGAUCAGUCACACUGGAAAUGAGACACGGUCCAGACUCCUACGGGAGGCAGCAGUGGGGAAUAUUGGACAAUGGGCGAAAGCCUGAUCCAGCCAUGCCGCGUGUGUGAAGAAGGUCUUCGGAUUGUAAAGCACUUUAAGUUGGGAGGCGUUACCGACAGAAUAAGCACCGGCUAACUCUGUGCCAGCAGCCGCGGUAAUUC